This 508-nucleotide ribosomal RNA is filed under the name uncultured bacterium. RNAcentral's name for it is "partial 16S ribosomal RNA". It matches the Rfam family "Bacterial small subunit ribosomal RNA", at positions 30 to 523 of the family's 1533-position model. The record is from RNAcentral.
AUUGAACGCUGGCGGCAUGCCCUACACAUGCAAGUCGAACGGCAGCGGGGGAGAAGCUUGCUUUUCCUGCCGGCGAGUGGCGAACGGGUGAGUAAUACAUCGGAACGUGCCCUGUAGUGGGGGAUAACUAGUCGAAAGAUUAGCUAAUACCGCAUACGACCUGAGGGUGAAAGGGGGGGACCGCAAGGCCUCAUGCUAUAGGAGCGGCCGAUGUCUGAUUUGCUAGUUGGUGGGGUAAAGGCCUACCAAGGCGACGAUCAGUAGCUGGUAUGAGAGGACGAUCAGCCACACUGGGACUGAGACACGGCCCAGACUCCUACGGGAGGCAGCAGUGGGGAAUUUUGGACAAUGGGCGAAAGCCUGAUCCAGCAAUGCCGCGUGUGUGAAGAAGGCCUUCGGGUUGUAAAGCACUUUUGUCCGGAAAGAAAUGGCUCUGGUUAAUACCUGGGGUCGAUGACGGUACCGGAAGAAUAAGGACCGGCUAACUACGUGCCAGCCGCCGCCGUAA